GAGUUUGAUCCUGGCUCAGAUUGAACGCUGGCGGAAUGCUUUACACAUGCAAGUCGAACGGCAGCACGGGGCAACCUGGUGGCGAGUGGCGAACGGGUGAGUAAUGCAUCGGAACGUGCCCAAUCGUGGGGGAUAACGUAGCGAAAGUUACGCUAAUACCGCAUACGAUCUAAGGAUGAAAGCGGGGGAUCGCAAGACCUCGCGCGAAUGGAGCGGCCGAUGUCAGAUUAGGUAGUUGGUGGGGUAAAGGCUCACCAAGCCGACGAUCUGUAGCUGGUCUGAGAGGACGACCAGCCACACUGGGACUGAGACACGGCCCAGACUCCUACGGGAGGCAGCAGUGGGGAAUUUUGGACAAUGGGCGAAAGCCUGAUCCAGCCAUUCCGCGUGCAGGAUGAAGGCCUUCGGGUUGUAAACUGCUUUUGUACGGAACGAAACGUUUCUUUCUAAUACAAGGGGCUAAUGACGGUACCGUAAGAAUAAGCACCGGCUAACUACGUGCCAGCAGCCGCGGUAAUCCC
This 521-nucleotide ribosomal RNA is filed under the name uncultured bacterium. RNAcentral's name for it is "bacterial SSU rRNA". It matches the Rfam family "Bacterial small subunit ribosomal RNA", at positions 9 to 527 of the family's 1533-position model. The record is from RNAcentral.